GACGAACGCUGGCGGCGUGCUUAACACAUGCAAGUCGAACGGUAAGGCCCUUCGGGGUACACGAGUGGCGAACAGGUGAGUAACACGUGGGUGAUCUGCCCUGCACUUCGGGAUAAGCCUGGGAAAACUGGGUCUAAUACCGGAUAGGACCACUGCCUGCAUGGGUGGGGGUGGAAAGCUUUUGCGGUGUGGGAUGGGCCCGCGGCCUAUCAGCUUGUUGGUGGAGUGAUGGCCUACCAAGGCGACGACGGGUAGCCGGCCUGAGAGGGUGACCGGCCACACUGGGACUGAGAUACGGCCCAGACUCCUACGGGAGGCAGCAGUGGGGAAUAUUGCACAAUGGGCGCAAGCCUGAUGCAGCGACGCCGCGUGAGGGAUGACGGCCUUCGGGUUGUAAACCUCUUUCAGCACCGACGAAGCGCAAGUGACGGUAGGUGCAGAAGAAGGACCGGCCAACUACGUGCCAGCCGCCGCCGUAA
Molecule: ribosomal RNA, 479 nt
Filed under: uncultured bacterium
Lineage: Bacteria
Description: partial 16S ribosomal RNA
Rfam family: Bacterial small subunit ribosomal RNA
Source: RNAcentral